GUGAGGAAAAAUCACAUGACACAUUUUGUGGCCAUGACUGGAUGUGGUGAACAUUAUUUCCAUGACAGGACCCCAGUCUUAACUGCAAAGGAUGCUGGGAAAUGUAGUUUCCCUAAGUGGUCAGGAAGAAAAAGUGUGAUAGGUGAAUAUUUAGCUAGACUCUGCCAUAUUUACGAAGGGGCUUUUCCAUUCCUAAUGUAAAUUAACCCUCAGUGGAUCUGUCUUCCCAGCCUUUUCUAUAUGUUCAGAUAUGUCUGAAUUCAUGAACACUAUUUAAUGUGGAAACUGAGAAAGGUUAAGGUAUACAUAGUUAACAAGUGACAGACCUGAAAUGUAAUUCAAAUUUGCCUGAAUCUCAAGUUAUUUUCUGCCUUCAAAUUUUAUACUUCAGGCAGUGGCAUCAGGAACAACAUCAGAUUGGGAGGAACUUGACUCCUUUGCACCCCUGGAGUCCUCUGAGAUAUCAGAACUUCAGUGGCAUCAAAGGUUUGGUUCAGUUAGUACUAUAAUUAACAGGAGUUAAAGGUACGUCUCCUGAGGUUACAGAGGAAACUGAGAUUGAUAGUGUCUUACAGUGGCAAGGAAGUGAAAUCAUUGGGAAAUAGUCAACAUCUCCUCCUCCAAGUUGGAUACAGGAAGAUAGCCAUGUUAAAUGGUCUCAGAAAAUAUCUAUACCUCUUUUUCACCUUUCUUCAGAAGGCUGAGGAAAAAGUUAAGAGAAGGCCAUUGAGAAGGAAAGACAAGACGGGGCCUGGAUUUUAGCAUCAUGCUUACCCUGUAGCUUUUCUUUUUUGGCAACUGCAUGGGUAUGAAUGUAUUUUUAAACUCAUAGAGCCUCAGUUUUCUUGUCAAUAAAAUGGGGAUAGUGAAAUGCAAAGUAGUAUGAAUUAAAUAAUUUCCACUAGUACUAUGCCUAAAAAAUCAGAGGCAUUGCAACUAAAGAUUUCUCCAUUUUUCUUUUUAUUAACACUUUUUCUUUCAUACCUAGGCCAUCAAGGGGAGGCAUGAUGGUGGAAAGACAAUUUUCCCGAUGCUAUGGAAGUUCCAUGAGACAUAAAGGGAACAAGGGCCAGAUGGCAUGCAGACAUGUGCUUGAGACUGGAACUCUGCCAAGGCAUUCUGGACCCACAGGAACUGAAAUAGUUUGCCUUCAUUAUCUGGUAGACCUGCUCGAGUCUGUAGCCCCUGACAGAAACCACAAGACUGUACAAACUGGCAACUGUGGGUUUGUCUGUUCUCUAUUGAUUCUAUUUCUGGAAAAAAAAAAAAAACAUGAACCAAUGGGUGAGCCAUGUGACUGUACAACUGACCCAAAGCUACCAUCAGAAGUGGGACGGAGACCUUUGUAGACAGGUCAUGAUGGGACCUCAACACUUUCCUGUCUGCUUCUUAAGCAUGGCUUUCAGUAGCUUUGACUUGAAACUUAACUCCUUGUGUUCUGACGCAUGAAACUGGAGGAGAAUCUUCAUAUUCUAUAGCUUUUUAUUUAAAUUUGGGAGGCCAUAGGUCAAAAUGUUCCAGACAUCUAAUAAUAUGUGCAAUAAAGACCAGUUAUUUUAACUUAUAAAAUAUCUUAGUUUUUUCCUCCAUGUGAAUUGCAAAGCAACUCCUUCAGAAGAUUUGAACACACACACACACACACACACACACACACACACAUACACACACACGUGUACUUUUCAGACUAUGAAACUGCAAAUGCUGUAGUGUUUCCUUUUCUCGAGCUUCGGUAUUUGUGCUCAGUACUGAUAAUUAGGUAAAUAGAAUGUAGGACUUCUUUGUAAUAGGGCCAAAUGUAAGAGUUCUGGUCUUGGCUCUAAUAUGCUAUGUGUCUUUGGUCUUCUCUCUUCUUCGUUAAAUGUCAAAAGACUAAAAUGAUCACUGAUGUCUGUUCUAAUUCUAAGAUUCAAAGUGAAUAAGAAUCUUUGAUAGCAUGAGACAGAUCUAGGUAGUAGAGAACACAGGUAUGAGAGAACAUAUCCUAUUAAACACACACGUGCAUGGGUGCACGCACACACAUACACUCAACAGAAAAACCAAAAUAGCUUCCCUCUCUUCCUCCCCCAAUAAUGACAAUGCAGCCAUCUGUUGGACGUUCCAUUUUGCUUAGCAGCUGCUCUCAGAUACAGAAAUCUGCAUUCCUCUGGCUUGUGCUGGUAUGCAGGCAGCAUGUGUGGGUACUAGCAUUUGACUCUCCACCCAAAGGAAUGGCUUUCAUUGAAUAAAAAUGAUUGCAGAGGUUUCUUAUUCCCCCAUCACACAAAUGCUUUUUUCCCCCUGAUAAUAGGCAUUUGAAGCCAUCUCUACUGCUCUGUGUGUUAAAAUAUACCCUGUUAGAGAUAUUCCUAUCAAGUAAUCAUCUAAAAUUGAAGAGGACAACCAGGAAAGGCUUCAGUGAAACUCUGCCUUGCCAGAAACUUCUACUUUGAAGGAAAGUGGGAGAGGUUGGAAUAUAAACUUCCAUUCUACUUUUAUUUUGUCCACACCCCCAGCAUUGCACUUAAGCACUGAGCAAUGAGUAUUGUUCAAAACAAAACUAGGAGGCUUUUGAAGGUAGCAUUAAUCUUGACAUCAAACUAAAUGAAAAUAUAUAAGAGAAAUAUUCAAAGGGGACAUGGAAGUAAAGUCCUUUAAAUAUUCCAUCUCCCUGCUGCUCCCAGCCCAAGCCUCUUCUACAGGCUGAAAUUUUGUCUUCUGUGUGGUAUAUUAUAUAAAGUGGUAUAUCAUUAAAAAAAGAAGAAAUUGAGUUGGGGGUUGGGAGGAACCGCUGUUACAAACAACAACAAGAAAGUGUCCUACAGGCUCUGUAGAUGAGAACCUUGGGUAAAAUUGGAUCUGCUUUUGAGUACAUAAUUUAGGACAUUUGUUACAAGAUUACUGUGGUUUUCUAUAAAUGUUAGUUUGCUGUAUUAUUUUCCAUGAACUAGUUUUCCAAAAUGCAGAAUAUUUUGCCCCCAAAACAUGGAAGCACUAAAGCUCGAUGAGGCACUGAUUCAUGGGGUGUCACCCAGAAACAGCUGGUCAGCCAUCUGCAGCCCCAGAGUCCUCUUAUUUUUACUUUAUUCAGCUAAUUCUUUAUGUAGAGGGGGAAGAAGAUGCAUAAAUCCUGGGAGAAGAGCAUGGCUCAUUUAAGAAAAUGAUGACUAACGCCUGCCCGAGACUGAUAUCUGGUGGCCUGAUGUGCUGAUUUGGAGGGGUCCGUUUCCUAUGUGCAUUAGGCUUUCAACUCUCCACUACAUGUGCAUUAUUUUCUGUGUAUCCUGUUCUUUUGGAAAAGGAAAGAAAUGAUGAUAUGCCAUUGAUUGUUUCAUGGGAAUGGUUCCAGAUUAGAGCACCCUUGAGAGCCAUAACCGGUCUUUUCAAAGCAGGCAGAAGAGCCUGCAGGAUCAAGGACAAGCCUGGAAGUUAGACCUGUAUGUUUGUCCAUGGAUCCCUCAAAUGUUUCUAAAUUAAACCUUCUAACUACCAUGGAUUCUGUGGUCAAAAAAUGUUGGAGGUAAAGACAGUAUUUGACACAAAUUAAAAGAUAUAUCAUGAUUCAAAGCCAAAAUUAUGUUAAAUGCUCAGUAAAUAUUUAGGCAGUGCUGUUUUAUUUCAAAUUUGACAUAGCUGUAGUAAAGUUGUGAAUCAUUCAAUUAGAAUAGCCUUUUGCUUCCCUGAAUGGGAAGGGGCCUUGCUGACAGGAGGUGGAUUGUUGUUAUCCCUUCCUUGUGCUACCUAAGGCAGUUCAUUCAGAUGACAGAGCCAGAUGACUGUGUGGGAAGCAUACCUUCCAAUCAUAGCAAGGAGGCUUUUAGGUGCACAGGUGUAUGCUGCUUACAGGUAAGCGUAAUUAUAGUUUAAUCAAAUCCUUAUGUGUCUCUGGAGACCACAUUUGGCAUACCUUUUAAUAUUUUGCUUGAGUCAUCAAAAUCUUCUCCCCAUUCUCCCCAUAUGUAUUGGUAUGUGUACAUACACACAUUUCUUUCUUAUUUUAUUUAUUUAUCUUGGCUUAUGAUCACAAAGGAUUUUAGUUUCUUUCAUGCCUUACAUAGCAACAGUAGAAGAUGAAUCAUUUUAUUUUUACAGUUAAAAGGUAGGGAAGAUAAACUUUCAUUGCUACAUUUAACCUGUGUAGCAUUAUUAAACUUAACAUAAUUUAUUGAUCUACUCAAAUUUUUUUGGUUGUGUAAUACUGAAAAGCUACCAUGACAAUUGACUAGAACAAAAGGAAAAUGCACCUUUAAUUGAUAAGACAGACAAUUUUUGUAAAAGAAUUGGAAAACCAUCUGUACUGUAAACUUUUGUGUCUCUUUUUCAUUCCUGUUUACUCUGCUAUUCAAUCCAAAUAAAGAUUGUUUUCACCUCAGCAACACAAAAAUCACAUGGACGAUCCUUCAGGCUGUCAGUCAGAAGAGAGAUAUACAUAUGCCCAAAGUAUACACUUGUGCUUCUUCUCGGUGUUAUUUGGGGAAAAUAUGUUGCAUGUUCUCCUGGCUCUCCUAGUUUUACAUUUUGAAUUAAUGCAAUUUAUUCUAAUUUAUGACAACUGUUUGAAAGGCUUGCUCUCCAUUUUCCCAUUUAUAAAAAGGUUGUUUACUUAGAGGGGGAAAAGCAGUAGGGAAAGUAGAUUGCCUUGCAUAUUCAGGUGGAAAAAGUUAGUGGGCUCCCCAUCUUGGAGUCAGUGAUGUGCACGAGGGUUGGGAUUGUAAGGACAUCUCUUGUAACAACUUUUUCUGCCCCUUUGGAAAUAGGAAUGAAAUUGUGGAGAACCUUCCUUCUGUUUCUUAAAGAAAGCCAUAUACAAUUGAGUUAAUUACCUCCCCCUCUUCUCUUGUUCUCCCUUCUUGUAUUUAUAUAGCAGCCAUCACCAUAGUACCCUACACACGUUGAUAAGAAUGCUAUUUCAGAAAAAAAUAAAAAUAAAAAAGGAAGAAGAAGGAAAAAAGGCACACUGUAGAAAAGAAAGAUUAUUUCUUGUCGUAGUACAAGAAUCCUCUUAAGGCUCAAAACCAAUAAAAUAGAUUGGUCCCGCUGUACCUAGAACAGUCUCAGUCAUAGUGGGUAUUUAAGGAAUAUUUUUCAGUUGGUGUUACUAGAAUCCAUUCCUCUGUCCUUGUUUAAAAACAAAGUCUCGUCCCAGUGUGCUCUUUUCCUGCCUUCAUGCUUCCUAGAAGGGCUCUGUUGUGAAAGGACCUCUUGCUAGAGAAGAAACUGAGCAGAAAGAGAAUGACAGGGAGCACGUGUAGAUUUCAGGGGCAGUCUAGGAUCCAGAUCUCCCUUAGGGCUUUCAUGAAAUUUUGUUUCCUGUUGACAUACGGUACUUAUCUUGUUAACUGUGUACAUGUACAAAGUGUUAUGUGGAUAUGUAUAACCAUAGCCACUAACAUCCUUUAAAGAAAUAACAAGUCAUAGAAGUAAAGACAUUAUUAUACUUCUAAUUCCCUUAAGUGUAUUAACUCAUUUAAUUCUCAUAAUAUAUCUAGGAGGUAUAUCUAUGGUUUUCAGCACCAUUUUAAAAAUUAAGAGGCUUGAUGAUGGACAGGUUAAAUAAUUGGCCCAGAAUCAUGGUAAGUAAUGAUCAGAAAAAAGGGAUUUGAACCAAGGUAGUCUCAUUCCAACUUCCAUGUUCUUACCUACCAUGCCUUGCUGACUCUUUCUCAAACUACUAAUCGGUUCAUACUGUAUCAGUAAUCAGGGCUUGGAAUAAACCUUUAGGAUAAUAUUAUUUUAAGGCCCAGAUCUUACCAUACAAUAAUGAUCUGCUGAACCUCAAAUCUAAUCUAGCCUUAGAGUAGGCAACUGAAUACAAGACUUUCCAGAAAGGACUGCUCUAACUUAUUCUUUGUUUACAUGAAAUGAUCUAAUUCUUUGUUUACAAUUUUGAAUGCAAUGCAUACUUAACCUAUAAAACCCAUGACCUUUCACUAAAAGCAUGCAUCCAUGCGUUCAUAUAAAGUUACUGAUGAUUCAGUGAAAAAUCAUUUUGCUUUUGUAUAUGUAUUAGUCUACUGGUUGGGGGGAAUUCAAACACAUAAAUAGUUAAAAUAUUGCUUCAGUAUGACAGGUAACAUUUACAAAAUUAUGGCAACAAGGAAUAAGGAUUUUGGGGUGUAGAUGAUGGGGUUAAUACAGACUGUGAAUGGGAUAAGGAUAUCUACAUGGAGAACUAGGUUCUUGAAUUAAAGUCUUGAAGGGUUGAUGAAAAGUAUGUAGCCAGAGAGUCAGGUGAAGACGAUUUAGGAAGAGGAAGCAGUUUGUUCCAAGAUUUGGAGGUAUGACAGAGGAUGAUGUCCAUGAAAUACGAUGUAGCUGGAGUGAGAUGUCAAAGUGAUGAGAGGUGGGACUAAAAGAAUGAGUAGGGAUCAGGCCAUGAAGGACCACUGGGUCCCCUAUUCUGUAGGUAAAAGCAAAUCAUGAGAGAUGAGUAACAAUUGGGGGCUCAUCUGACUUUUGUUUUCAAAAAUGAGCUUAGAAUUCAAUGGCCUGGAUGAGGGUAAAACCAAAGGGGAAAAAAAGCAGUGAAGGGAUCUUAAGGCAUAGUGAUAGACACUACACUAUAAUUUUAAUACUCAGAACAAUCCCAUGUACAAGACACUAUUUCCAUUAAGGAGAUUAAACAAAACCAAACAAAAUUGAGAACUGUUGAGUAACUUGCCCACGAUGUAAGGCAAGUAAAUGACAGCUGUUUUACUUUCACAUUAGACUCCAAUCCUGCCCACUUCCUUCUAUAUCAUGCUGUCUCCUAUUUCAGUGUCUUAACAAAAAGUCAGCACUCCUAGUCUCCACUUAGAAUUACUCAAAACUUCCCUCUACUGUCCAGAUUCUCUUCCCAACCCUCUGACCAUGCCUGUACCAUCUCUUCUGCUGUAUACCUUCAGCCUUCCUCUCAACUAUUCCUGUUUCUCAAAGUUCUCUCCUGAGUCCUCUAAGCUCUCCUUUUUUUUUUUUUAUCAUACCCAUCUCUCCUUGACAAGAUCUCUCUUUCUGCAGUAAUCCUAUCCAUUUCGUGCAUCCCAUGCAAGAACCCUGCCCCCUUAACUCCUCUAACUCUCAACACGGAAAGUGUCCCCAUGUCCCGUUGUUACUAUUUUAUAGGAUAAACAAGUCUCCUAUGGCAAGUCUGGUAAAAUGAUCAUUGUGUCUUGCCUAUACUGUUGAAAGAGCAAUUUGACUAGUUUUUACAUCGGGCAAUCAGAUUAACAUUUCUGGGCAGAAGUCCGACUUGUCUACUUCCUUGCUUGAAUCUUGUCAUUGGCUCCCUAUUAAAAAUAAAACAAAUUGUAAUUUUCCAAGAGUGCUCAAUGAGUACACCUAAAUUGGGCCACCAGUUUUUACAUCACCUUAUUUCCCAUUGCUUGGCACACUGCUGGCUGCUAGGAAGUACUCAAUACACAUCUGUUGGGCAAAUGAAUGAGUGAAUUUAACUCACGUAAACUGAUA
Sapajus apella (tufted capuchin) is the source of this 7422-nucleotide long non-coding RNA. RefSeq lists it as uncharacterized. The transcript has 3 exons. The record is from RefSeq and is a predicted model, not a curated record. Lineage: Eukaryota; Metazoa; Chordata; Mammalia; Primates; Cebidae.